CAAAGCACACUUCACUUUCUGCCAUUCUACCCUUCAGGAUGGGCUGCUUUGAGAGCUCCAGCUGCUGGGUACAUGGGGUUGCCCAAGAGUUUCUGCUGCCAUUUGGAAAUCUAGAGGAAAACUCAACUCCAAGUGAUUUCAAGGGAAGAAUUCAAAGUGUGACCAAAACCAAAUAAUCAGCCCUCUGUCACAUGCUAGGGAGCUUUGGAAGGGUCCCUCUGAAACUCGUUGGGAUUGAUUUUGCUGCUGCAAUGGGUUAUUACCGGCAAACCCUGGACAACCACUCCCAAAGAACACAUCUGUCUGAUGGAGUUCAAUCUUUGGAGACUUAAAGUGCUCACUCAAAUGCACUGAACAAGAGGAAUGCUUCAGCUCCAAUCAGCUCCUGUCUUCUUUGGCAAUGCUGGCCUUGAGGCUCUGCCUAAUGAUUGCAACCUGUGAUCCCAGUUUGUGCUGCAGAGGUGGCUGAAGUUUUUAGACCUCAUUUUCCCCUUGAUUUGGACAAAGCCAGCAAAUAAGACCCAUAAUUUCCAGAUUCUAUAUUUGUGUUUGUUUCCUCUGUGUGAUCCAAACACUGCUGUGUGUCUGCCUAUGAUGGAUGUUAAGAAA
Long non-coding RNA from Pogoniulus pusillus (Red-fronted tinkerbird), 609 nucleotides. RefSeq lists it as uncharacterized. The record is from RefSeq and is a predicted model, not a curated record. The transcript has 6 exons. Lineage: Eukaryota; Metazoa; Chordata; Aves; Piciformes; Lybiidae.